GGGUGUCUCGUCUGCUUUAUUAUCUAAAAGCUUUCUAGCCUUCCUUUUUUGUUGUCUUCUACCAGAUCUUCUCCCUCUAAUCCUCUCUUGCGACUUUUUAUAGGUGUAAUAUUGAGGUGGUGAGUCUGUCUUUCUCUGUUGGAGGGGAUCUCUAAAAAAGAUGUUUCAUCGAAUUGAUCACAGAAAGAUAGGACAUGAUAUUUGUUGUUCUUAGUUAGAUCUUGUGGUGAUGGGGGUUUAUUUUCAUCUCGUCUUUUGUAGGUUUUCUUUGGAUUUUCCCAGGAGUACUUUCUAUUUCUCUGUUUAGGAGAAUCGGGCAUAUAUGUGUAUUUGUGAGUUUUGGGUCUUACAACAAGAGGUGAUUCCUGUGUGAAUUUCUUAUGUUUGAUGUGUUCUUCAAUUUUUUCUGAAUAAUGUGUAUUUAGGGGUUUAUUUUGGGGAUAGGUGUCUCGAUAGUGUCUAGUGUUGAAUUUAUCAUUUCUUGUGUCAUGUCUUUCAUUUCUUAUAUUGUACCUAGGAGAUUUGUCUGGUAAUCUCUGAUGGUUAUUGUGAGAAUAUUUUCUAUAAUAGAAUUCUUUGCUUUGUAACCUUUUAGGUCUAACUUGAUAACCUCCUUGUGUGUUUACAUUGUGAUGUGUUGUACCAUUUCUCCAUUGGUUUUGAGUGUUAGAUUUCUUAAUAUUAUACGUGCGAACUUGUUUUUGUGCGUAAUCAUAUUUGUCUCUAUUGUACUUUUGAAUCUUUAUUCUUUUUGUGUCGGUUUCAAUUUUUUCUACAGUUUUUUAAAUUUUUUGUGAUACAUUAUAGUACUCCUCAGUGUCGCCAAAAGGGAUUAAUUGUUCUCGUAAUGUGUUUAUUUUUUUGUCUAUGACAGAUAGCUUUUCAUUUUUAACUUUAAUGAGACUUUUCAUUAAUCCAAAGGUGCAAUACUCUAAAUGGUUGUACCAUUCUUCCAUGAAUAUUUUAUUAUCAGUGUCUGAAGUAGGCAUCUUAAAUAAUCUGAGACCUCUUGGAGUUAUUUUUUCUUCUACAUAUUUAGUCAGAGUUGCAAUUUCCCACCUUAAUUUCAUUUCUUUUGUUAGGGAGAAUUCUAAUUCUUUUAGUAAUUCAGAUAAAUUAUCAAAGACAAUUAGUGGUUCGUUUGUAUUCAUUUCAUCUAAUUCAUUAAAGACAUCAUUAAUGUUAAUGGUAUAGUUAUCCCUAUAUUCGAAUAGAGACAUAUUUGAACAACCUAUAGGGGCUGCCUAUCUGGGGAAUGUGUGGUGAUAAAAAAGAAAGAGAGUGAUAGGAACAGCUCACAUUUAUUGGGAUUAAAAUAGUUAAAAAUCACUGGAGAGGAGGAGAUGUU
This is a non-coding RNA of Pelobates cultripes (western spadefoot toad), 1348 nucleotides long. The record is from the annotation of a GenBank genome assembly. NCBI's taxonomy places the organism in Eukaryota, Metazoa, Chordata, Amphibia, Anura, Pelobatidae.